AUUAUUAGUUUCAAGUGUCACAAGCUAGCUGUGUCCCAAACUGAAGCUUUUCCCCUGUUAACCUGGGGCCUGUUCUUCGUACGUCGCUAACUCAUUUAGCUGGAUUUGAUUGUUGAUGAUUUGGCGUGAUCUUGGAUCGUUUGGUUCUUCGAAGCUCAUCCCGGAGCUGCUGUCAUAGCAACAGGUCCGUCAGCUGAGGUUUAUUUCAUGUAAACAAAAACACUUGACUUGCAUCUGCAGCAAAAAGAAAUGCACAUACUGUAGCUCAAAGCUGUCUUAUGUUUGUUCUACUGGAAAACUCUUUCACUUAACAUCCUGGAGCUGGUCUAAGAGCAAGCAUCCACAGUUUCUGCUGCACCAGAGAACUUAAAUGAAAAGGAAGACCAGACUUGCACUGAGGUGAAGACUGAGAUUGAAACUUGGACUAUUAAAACAAACGCCGGAACAGAAGAUAUCAGACACAGCCCAGCAGAAAAUGCUGAAGGUGAGGCCUCUGCUGAGUCAGAACACCAGACAGCUGGUCCGGAGGUGAUCUAUGAUGAUGUACCCUGUGAUGAUCUGUCUUCCGGAGAAGCUGACUUGAUCUAUGAAGACUUUCAGAAAGAGGAGGGCUUGCAAGGGCUCAAUAAUGGCUCGAGCUCAAGUGAGUUCGAAAGCUAUGACGAUGAGCAGUCCGUUUCUGAGAGGUCUCCAAGUCUCCAAGCCGCAGCAAGGUGCGUGUGUGUGUGUGUGUGUGUGUGUGUGUUAAUUCAAGACUCCCCACGACUGCAAUAA
This 774-nucleotide long non-coding RNA is filed under the name Carassius auratus (goldfish). Its description in RNAcentral is "lncRNA (ENSCARG00000031306.1)". The record is from RNAcentral. Lineage: Eukaryota; Metazoa; Chordata; Actinopteri; Cypriniformes; Cyprinidae.